AUUGAACGCUGGCGGCAUGCUUUACACAUGCAAGUCGAACGGCAGCACGGACUUCGGUCUGGUGGCGAGUGGCGAACGGGUGAGUAAUACAUCGGAACGUGCCCAGUUGUGGGGGAUAACUACUCGAAAGAGUAGCUAAUACCGCAUGAGAACUGAGGUUGAAAGCAGGGGAUCGUAAGACCUUGCGCAACUGGAGCGGCCGAUGGCAGGUUAGGUAGUUGGUGGGAUAAAAGCUUACCAAGCCGACGAUCUGUAGCUGGUCUGAGAGGACGACCAGCCACACUGGGACUGAGACACGGCCCAGACUCCUACGGGAGGCAGCAGUGGGGAAUUUUGGACAAUGGGGGCAACCCUGAUCCAGCCAUUCCGCGUGUGGGAAGAAGGCCUUCGGGUUGUAAACCACUUUCGGACGGGAAGAAAUCGACGUGACGAAUAAUCGUGUCGGAUGACGGUACCGUAAGAAGAAGCACCGGCUAACUACGUGCCAGCCGCCGCGGUAA
This 500-nucleotide ribosomal RNA is filed under the name uncultured bacterium. Its description in RNAcentral is "partial 16S ribosomal RNA". It matches the Rfam family "Bacterial small subunit ribosomal RNA", at positions 30 to 523 of the family's 1533-position model. The record is from RNAcentral.